AGUCGACGGAGUUGUUAUUCAGAAGUUCUUCGGGAUGGAAGGAUAAGAACUUAGUGGCGGACGGGUGAGUAACGCGUGGGUAACCUGCCCUUUUGUGGGGAACAACUUCGAGAAAUCGGAGCUAAUACCGCAUAAUAAUAGAGGAUCGCAUGAUUCUUUAAGGAAAGAUGGCCUCUGAAGAUGCUAUCGCAAAAGGAUGGACCCGCGUCUGAUUAGCUAGUUGGAAGGGUAACGGCCUACCAAGGCAACGAUCAGUAGCCGGCCUGAGAGGGUGAACGGCCACAUUGGGACUGAGACACGGCCCAAACUCCUACGGGAGGCAGCAGUGGGGAAUCUUCCGCAAUGGGCGAAAGCCUGACGGAGCAAUGCCGCGUGAGUGAAGAAGGCCUUCGGGUUGUAAAACUCUGUCCUUAUCGAAGAGAGGUAGGUAUGUGAAUAAUGUACCUAUAGGACGGUAGAUAAGGAGGAAGCCCCGGCUAACUACGUGCCAGCAGCCGCGGUAAUACGUAGGGGGCGAGCGUUGUCCGGAAUCACUGGGCGUAAAGGGCGCGUAGGCGGUUUAAUAAGUCAGUGGUGAAAACUGAGGGCUCAACCCUCAGCCUGCCACUGAUACUGUUAGACUUGAGUAUGGAAGAGGAGAAUGGAAUUCCUAGUGUAGCGGUGAAAUGCGUAGAUAUUAGGAGGAACACCAGUGGCGAAGGCGAUUCUCUGGGCCAAGACUGACGCUGAGGCGCGAAAGCGUGGGGAGCAAACAGGAUUAGAUACCCUGGUAGUCCACGCCCGUAACGAUGGAUACUAGGUGUUAGUAGUUUCGAUGCUACUAG
RNAcentral lists this ribosomal RNA (824 nucleotides) under uncultured bacterium. RNAcentral's name for it is "bacterial SSU rRNA". It matches the Rfam family "Bacterial small subunit ribosomal RNA", at positions 60 to 843 of the family's 1533-position model. The record is from RNAcentral.